CUCGAAUCCGGCUCAGAGCGUGGCGCGUCUCUACUGCUGAGGUAGAACCCAGAAGGGAUUCAUUGAGACAGUAAAUCAGGAGAAAAGGACUGUAAGGAGAUGGGUCCUGAUUGCAGGAGGUCACUGGAGUGUGACCGAGAGGAUGCGUUCUUGUCCCCAGCUCUUCCCUUCUCACUCUGCCUCUGAUGACAGGAACAGCUUUUCUCCACUGGAUCUUUCUGCCAUGAUGUUCGUGACUUGGAGCAGCCAAGCACAGACUGAACCUUGUGAACUAUGGCUCACACUCAGAAUCUAUUCAUUUGCCAUGAAGAUCAUCAAGCAGCUCUCCAAGGAAGACUAUGUGUUGAGAAACAUGUCCCAUGCCGAAAGCCGGAAGGAACUCAUCAGCCAUGCGAGGAAGCCUGCUGGGCAGUGGAUUCUUCAGCUCCACACACACCUUCAGAGGAUUGCAGUUCUAGCUGAAUUAUGAUUGAAUCUCAUGAGAAACUCCAAGGCAGAGCCAUCCAGCCAAGUCACUCCCUAAUUUCUGAUGCGCAGAGCAUGAGACACGAAAGAACGUCUUCAUUCACUUCUCCAUUUCCAAGCAAUUGCAGCUUGGGGAACACAUCGCACUCAAUCCUGUGGAGAAAAAUGAAUUUCUGUACACGGAGGACAUCUAAGAGAUAAAGAAGAAAAAACAUUAAAGUUUGUAUGGAACAACAAAGGACCCACAAAAGCAUAAGCAAUCUUGAGCAAGAACAAGCUGGACAUAUGUAAUACUUCACAACAUAAUUAGAAAUUUAUAGUAAUGAAAAUAAACCCAGGUAUAUAGACCAAUACAACAGAAAUGAAUCCAUAUGAACAAUUGAUCACUGGAAAGGGUACCAAGAGUAUACAAUAAGAAAUAGUCUUUUCAAUAAAUGGUGCUGGAAAAAAUUGGAUUUCCACAUGAAAAGGAAUGAACUUGGAUACAUACCACACUAUAAAACAACUCAAAGCAAAAUAUAAUUAAGAUGAGUCUGCACAUAUCAUGGAAGAUGGGAUUCAGAGAGUAAAGAAAGAAUCUGAGAAGGGAGACAGACCCACCCACUGACAUCAGCAGUCACCUGGCU
RNAcentral lists this long non-coding RNA (1091 nucleotides) under Heterocephalus glaber (naked mole-rat). RNAcentral's name for it is "lncRNA (ENSHGLG00100036073.1)". The record is from RNAcentral. Lineage: Eukaryota; Metazoa; Chordata; Mammalia; Rodentia; Bathyergidae.